This is a long non-coding RNA of Melanotaenia boesemani (Boeseman's rainbowfish), 666 nucleotides long. RefSeq lists it as uncharacterized. The transcript is spliced from 2 exons. The record is from RefSeq and is a predicted model, not a curated record. NCBI's taxonomy places the organism in Eukaryota, Metazoa, Chordata, Actinopteri, Atheriniformes, Melanotaeniidae.
AGUCACGUGUCAGCGGCAGCACACUCCAUCAGAAAAUCUACAAAAUCUGUUUUACUUGUCUGAGCAGAACGGGAAGAUUGAUAUGGCCUUCUUCACUCACGACUGCUUCCACUUCACCAUAAAGGGACAUGAGGAGCUGGCCAAGGGCCUGUGGAACAACAUGUUUCAGCCUGAAGGAGGAAAAAUGAUUGUGAGCAGUUUCUCUGAUCCCAUCAGUCUCAUCUGUCCACCUGCAGUAAGUCUUAGUAUGGAAGUGCUGUGUUUUCAUUCAAGAGCAGUACCUGGAUAUUCUGACACUGAGUUUAAAAUUAAAGCUGCAAAUUGAAUUUCUCCCUGAAUGGUAAGGGAUUCAAUAAGUAUCAUACAUUACCACUCUGAACUUAUUAAAGAUCCUCUGCACAAAGGCAAGAUGAUAGGCUGCUCUAAUUAUAUGAAAUGGUAUGAACCUUCAAUUAUCAAUUUGUUAAAAAGCUGCUGAAGCCAAGGAUGAGGACAUUGUGAUGUAUCUAAGCUUUUGUUUGCAUCAUAUUAUUACUUCUUGUAUUUAUGUUACUAGAUUUUCAAGGGUGCUGCAGAGAAACCAACAGGUCUAAGGCAAUUAAUUUAAUCUGAUAUCAAUUUAUUAAAGAAAUAAAGUUUUAAUCAUGUAAAAAGAUGCACUCAGGA